AUCAUAAUAAGAGGAGGCUUACACUUUUUUCUUUUCUUUCAAUUGCAGCUUAUACCAAAUGCUUUUGUGAGGUUGCCACAGUUACAAGGAAGGAUCCCUGAGGAUGUAAUCCUCAGAAAUGCAAGUGGGAGAGUGUGGCAUGUCAAAACACGCUAUGUCAGAAACUAUAUUUUGAUGAUGGAUGGAAUGCUUUCCAUGAAGAAAACUGCUUAGGACAUGCAGACUUUCUUGUCUUCAAGCAUGACCGUAGUAAUGAGUUCAAGGUAGUAAUCCUUGAAUCAUCAACACAGUGUCAAAAGCCUGUGGUAAAGAUGGAGGAGGAGAAUGAACAAGAGCAAGCAGCAGCACAACAUGUUGAGGACUGUGACAUAGAGGAGGAGGAAGACAGUUCUUCCAAGGAUGAGAACUAUGAUGGCAGUGAUUCUGAUGAUGAUGAAGAGAGUGAAGAAGAAUUCAGUGCUGGAUUCAAGCGUCAAAGUCAUCAUAGAAGAGCUUGCAAAAGGGAGUCUGCAUCAAAUUCCAACCCCAAUGCUGAAGAUCUUCUUCCAGAAUAUGUAUUUGAUCCAGAAAUGUGUAUUCAGCCGGAGAAUCAUUUUUUUAAAGCAAAACUCUACAAAACUAGACCCAACGAAUUGGAUAUUUCAAUAAAUUUAUUGGGAGACUGUCAUCAUAACUUGGCACAACAGACAUUCAUCAAAACCAAGUAUCAGCAAGUGUCAGGAAGAGUGUGUAGGUGGAAAGAUUAUAGAAUAUAUAUCAAGGGUUGGGAUAGCUUUUGCAGAAGGAAUGAGAUCGAAAGAGAUGAUACUUGCUUCUGUGAAGUUAUAUCAGGGGAAGAGCAAGGAGUAAGAACACUAAGGGUGCAUGUUGCUAGGAGGAGAUGAACACCACUAGUACUUGCUGUAAAUAUUUUUAGGAAUUAGUACUUGUAAUUUUCUUAUGUAACGGUUUCUUCCAUUUUCUCAUGGAAUGAUAGCCAUAUUUGCCUGUAGUUGGUUGCACAAUCAUUUAGCUUACACUAUUUCACUGCUUAGCCAUUUGUCUUGUUCUGCUUUGGACAACUUCUAUUAAUUGGAUUGGAAUUUGGAAUCUUUUUUGUGGACUUAAA
RNA transcript from Glycine soja, 1108 nucleotides. It is a transcript of the gene named B3 domain-containing protein REM20-like, with no coding region annotated. NCBI's taxonomy places the organism in Eukaryota, Viridiplantae, Streptophyta, Magnoliopsida, Fabales, Fabaceae. The transcript is spliced from 3 exons. The record is from RefSeq and is a predicted model, not a curated record.